AUGGCUCAGAUUGAACGCUGGCGGCAGGCCUAACACAUGCAAGUCGAGCGGUAGCACAGAGAGCUUGCUCUCGGGUGACGAGCGGCGGACGGGUGAGUAAUGUCUGGGAAACUGCCUGAUGGAGGGGGAUAACUACUGGAAACGGUAGCUAAUACCGCAUAACGUCGCAAGACCAAAGUGGGGGACCUUCGGGCCUCAUGCCAUCAGAUGUGCCCAGAUGGGAUUAGCUAGUAGGUGGGGUAACGGCUCACCUAGGCGACGAUCCCUAGCUGGUCUGAGAGGAUGACCAGCCACACUGGAACUGAGACACGGUCCAGACUCCUAC
RNAcentral lists this ribosomal RNA (325 nucleotides) under Klebsiella pneumoniae. RNAcentral's name for it is "bacterial SSU rRNA". It matches the Rfam family "Bacterial small subunit ribosomal RNA", at positions 19 to 342 of the family's 1533-position model. The record is from RNAcentral. Lineage: Bacteria; Pseudomonadati; Pseudomonadota; Gammaproteobacteria; Enterobacterales; Enterobacteriaceae.